RNAcentral lists this ribosomal RNA (584 nucleotides) under Herbaspirillum huttiense subsp. huttiense. Its description in RNAcentral is "bacterial SSU rRNA". It matches the Rfam family "Bacterial small subunit ribosomal RNA", at positions 60 to 638 of the family's 1533-position model. The record is from RNAcentral. Lineage: Bacteria; Pseudomonadati; Pseudomonadota; Betaproteobacteria; Burkholderiales; Oxalobacteraceae.
AGUCGACGGCAGCAUAGGAGCUUGCUCCUGAUGGCGAGUGGCGAACGGGUGAGUAAUAUAUCGGAACGUGCCCUAGAGUGGGGGAUAACUAGUCGAAAGACUAGCUAAUACCGCAUACGAUCUACGGAUGAAAGUGGGGGAUCGCAAGACCUCAUGCUCCUGGAGCGGCCGAUAUCUGAUUAGCUAGUUGGUGGGGUAAAAGCCUACCAAGGCAACGAUCAGUAGCUGGUCUGAGAGGACGACCAGCCACACUGGGACUGAGACACGGCCCAGACUCCUACGGGAGGCAGCAGUGGGGAAUUUUGGACAAUGGGGGCAACCCUGAUCCAGCAAUGCCGCGUGAGUGAAGAAGGCCUUCGGGUUGUAAAGCUCUUUUGUCAGGGAAGAAACGGUAGUAGCGAAUAACUAUUACUAAUGACGGUACCUGAAGAAUAAGCACCGGCUAACUACGUGCCAGCAGCCGCGGUAAUACGUAGGGUGCAAGCGUUAAUCGGAAUUACUGGGCGUAAAGCGUGCGCAGGCGGUUGUGUAAGUCAGAUGUGAAAUCCCCGGGCUCAACCUGGGAAUUGCAUUUGAGACUGCAC